This 680-nucleotide ribosomal RNA is filed under the name Alteromonas sp. M1(2014). Its description in RNAcentral is "bacterial SSU rRNA". It matches the Rfam family "Bacterial small subunit ribosomal RNA", at positions 405 to 1077 of the family's 1533-position model. Lineage: Bacteria; Pseudomonadati; Pseudomonadota; Gammaproteobacteria; Alteromonadales; Alteromonadaceae. The record is from RNAcentral.
GUGAAGAAGGCCUUCGGGUUGUAAAGCACUUUCAGUUGUGAGGAAAAGUUAGUAGUUAAUACCUGCUAGCCGUGACGUUAACAACAGAAGAAGCACCGGCUAACUCCGUGCCAGCAGCCGCGGUAAUACGGAGGGUGCGAGCGUUAAUCGGAAUUACUGGGCGUAAAGCGCACGCAGGCGGUUUGUUAAGCUAGAUGUGAAAGCCCCGGGCUCAACCUGGGAUGGUCAUUUAGAACUGGCAGACUAGAGUCUUGGAGAGGGGAGUGGAAUUCCAGGUGUAGCGGUGAAAUGCGUAGAUAUCUGGAGGAACAUCAGUGGCGAAGGCGACUCCCUGGCCAAAGACUGACGCUCAUGUGCGAAAGUGUGGGUAGCGAACAGGAUUAGAUACCCUGGUAGUCCACACCGUAAACGCUGUCUACUAGCUGUGUGUGCCUUUAAGGCGUGCGUAGCGAAGCUAACGCGCUAAGUAGACCGCCUGGGGAGUACGGCCGCAAGGUUAAAACUCAAAUGAAUUGACGGGGGCCCGCACAAGCGGUGGAGCAUGUGGUUUAAUUCGAUGCAACGCGAAGAACCUUACCUACACUUGACAUGCUGAGAAGUUACUAGAGAUAGUUUCGUGCCUUCGGGAACUCAGACACAGGUGCUGCAUGGCUGUCGUCAGCUCGUGUCGUGAGAUGUUG